Molecule: ribosomal RNA, 427 nt
Filed under: uncultured Pantoea sp.
Lineage: Bacteria; Pseudomonadati; Pseudomonadota; Gammaproteobacteria; Enterobacterales; Erwiniaceae
Description: bacterial SSU rRNA
Rfam family: Bacterial small subunit ribosomal RNA
Source: RNAcentral
AGUGGGGAAUAUUGCACAAUGGGCGCAAGCCUGAUGCAGCCAUGCCGCGUGUAUGAAGAAGGCCUUCGGGUUGUAAAGUACUUUCAGCGGGGAGGAAGGCGACGGGGUUAAUAACCCUGUCGAUUGACGUUACCCGCAGAAGAAGCACCGGCUAACUCCGUGCCAGCAGCCGCGGUAAUACGGAGGGUGCAAGCGUUAAUCGGAAUUACUGGGCGUAAAGCGCACGCAGGCGGUCUGUUAAGUCAGAUGUGAAAUCCCCGGGCUUAACCUGGGAACUGCAUUUGAAACUGGCAGGCUUGAGUCUUGUAGAGGGGGGUAGAAUUCCAGGUGUAGCGGUGAAAUGCGUAGAGAUCUGGAGGAAUACCGGUGGCGAAGGCGGCCCCCUGGACAAAGACUGACGCUCAGGUGCGAAAGCGUGGGGAGCAAA